GCGACAGGCCUAACACAUGCAAGUCAGGGGCAGCACAAGGAGCAAUCUGAGGUGGCGACCGGCGCACGGGUGAGUAACACGUAUGCAACCUGCCUGUAAGCGGGGAAUAACCCGUUGAAAGACGGACUAAUACCGCAUAAUACUAAAUUACUGCAUGGUAAUUUAUUUAAACAUUUAUGGCUUACAGAUGGGCAUGCGCAUGAUUAGCUAGUUGGAGAGGUAACGGCUCCCCAAGGCAACGAUCAUUAGGGGUUCUGAGAGGAAGGUCCCCCACACUGGUACUGAGACACGGACCAGACUCCUACGGGAGGCAGCAGUGAGGAAUAUUGGUCAAUGGACGAGAGUCUGAACCAGCCAAGUCGCGUGCAGGAAGAAUGUUCCCUAUGGAUUGUAAACUGCUUUUGCAGGGGAAUAAAGUGCAUCACGUGUGAUGUUUUGUAUGUACUCUGCGAAUAAGGAUCGGCUAACUCCGUGCCAGCCGCGGC
RNAcentral lists this ribosomal RNA (485 nucleotides) under uncultured bacterium. Its description in RNAcentral is "bacterial SSU rRNA". It matches the Rfam family "Bacterial small subunit ribosomal RNA", at positions 39 to 518 of the family's 1533-position model. The record is from RNAcentral.